UGGGAAUAUUGCGCAAUGGGGGAAACCCUGACGCAGCAACGCCGCGUGAAGGAAGACGGUUUUCGGAUUGUAAACUUCUUUUAUUGAGGACGAAACAAAUGACGGUACUCAAUGAAUAAGCUCCGGCUAACUACGUGCCAGCAGCCGCGGUAAUACGUAGGGAGCAAGCGUUGUCCGGAAUUACUGGGUGUAAAGGGCGAGUAGGCGGGACAAAAAGUCAGAUGUGAAAACUAUGGGCUCAACCCAUAGCCUGCAUUUGAAACUUUUGUUCUUGAGAGAUGGAGAGGUAAGCGGAAUUCCUAGUGUAGCGGUGAAAUGCGUAGAUAUUAGGAGGAACACCAGUGGCGAAGGCGGCUUACUGGACAUUUACUGACGCUGAGGAGCGAAAGCGUGGGGAGCGAAC
Molecule: ribosomal RNA, 403 nt
Filed under: uncultured bacterium
Lineage: Bacteria
Description: bacterial SSU rRNA
Rfam family: Bacterial small subunit ribosomal RNA
Source: RNAcentral